UGCACCUGGUGGCGAGUGGCGAACGGGUGAGUAAUACAUCGGAACGUACCUUAUCGUGGGGGAUAACGCAGCGAAAGCUGUGCUAAUACCGCAUACGCCCUGAGGGGGAAAGCGGGGGAUCGAAAGACCUCGCGCGAUUAGAGCGGCCGAUGCCUGAUUAGCUUGUUGGUGGGGUAAAAGCCCACCAAGGCGACGAUCAGUAGCUGGUCUGAGAGGACGAUCAGCCACACUGGGACUGAGACACGGCCCAGACUCCUACGGGAGGCAGCAGUGGGGAAUUUUGGACAAUGGGGGAAACCCUGAUCCAGCAAUGCCGCGUGAGUGAAGAAGGCCUUCGGGUUGUAAAGCUCUUUUGUCAGGGAAGAAACACCGGCUCUAACACAGUCCGGGAAUGACGGUACCUGAAGAAUAAGCACCGGCUAACUACGUGCCAGCAGCCGCGGUAAUACGUAGGGUGCGAGCGUUAAUCGGAAUUACUGGGCGUAAAGCGUGCGCAGGCGGUUAUACAAGACAGGCGUGAAAUCCCCGGGCUUAACCUGGGAAUGGCGCCUGUGACUGUAUAGCUAGAGUGUGUCAGAAGGGGGUAGAAUUCCACGUGUAGCAGUGAAAUGCGUAGAUAUGUGGAGGAAUACCAAUGGCGAAGGCAGCCCCCUGGGAUAACACUGACGCUCACGCACGAAAGCGUGGGGAGCAAACAGGA
This 700-nucleotide ribosomal RNA is filed under the name uncultured beta proteobacterium. Its description in RNAcentral is "bacterial SSU rRNA". It matches the Rfam family "Bacterial small subunit ribosomal RNA", at positions 80 to 777 of the family's 1533-position model. Lineage: Bacteria; Pseudomonadati; Pseudomonadota; Betaproteobacteria. The record is from RNAcentral.